AGGUGCCAGUGCAUCCUCCACUUCAAGUGCAUCAGUAGGCCUACCCCCAAGGGCCACACAGUCAAAAUCAUAUCAGAGAUCUGUGUUCAUGGCUGAGCUUGUCAACGGCAGGUUGCAACCCAACAGAAUGCUGGUGAUCAGAUUCCUGGAGGGGGAUGCCACAGUUCAGGGCAUUCUUGCCAAAGUGCAAGAUGCCCUAGGGGCCUAUGACCCCCUGAUCCUGACUGAUGGGCAGGGAAAUGAAAUACUGGACUCAGAGGGAACCAGAGGCUCCAUAUACUGGAAGCAAAAUGCGAGAAAAAUUCUUGCCCUUCCGGAGAUGCACUUCGCUGAACUAAAAUCAGGGAAAAGAAGGAAA
This is a long non-coding RNA of Neoarius graeffei (lesser salmon catfish), 358 nucleotides long. RefSeq lists it as uncharacterized. The record is from RefSeq and is a predicted model, not a curated record. Lineage: Eukaryota; Metazoa; Chordata; Actinopteri; Siluriformes; Ariidae. The transcript has 3 exons.